Non-coding RNA from Merluccius polli (Benguela hake), 85 nucleotides. Lineage: Eukaryota; Metazoa; Chordata; Actinopteri; Gadiformes; Merlucciidae. The record is from the annotation of a GenBank genome assembly.
GCAGGACAGUAUCGUGGAUGGGUUGUUAGACGAGGUUGUUCGACUUCCAGCCGAAAGGUUCUGGGUUCAAAUCCCAUUGUCUGCA